UUCCGGUUGAUCCCGCCGGAGAUUACCGCUAUUUGGGUUUGACUAAGCCAUGUUAGUUUUGGGUGCUUGCAUCCAGAGCGUACAGCUCAGUAACACGUAGUCAACCUGCCCUCGAGUCUAGAAUAAUCCCGGGAAACUGGGGCUAACGCUGGAUAGGUGAGAGAUACUGGAAUGUUCUUUCGCUUAAAGAUACGCUCGAGGAUGGGACUGCGCUCGAUUAGGUUGUUGCCGGGGUAACUUCCCGACAUGCCGAUAAUCGAUACGGGCCUUGAGAGAGGAAGCCCGGAGAUGGAUUCUGAGACAAGAAUCCAGGUCCUACGGGACGCAUCAGGCGCGAAAAUUCCACAAUGCGCGAAAGCGUUAUGGAGAAACCCGAAGUGGCAUCGCUAAGCGAUGUCUUUUACCAAGUGUAAAAAGCUUGGAGAAUAAGGGGUGGGUAAGACGGGUGCCAGCCGCCGCGGUAAUACCCGCGCCCCGAGUGGUAGUCACGUUUAUUGGGUUUAAAGCGUCCGUAGCCGGUUUGAUUAGUCUCUAAUGAAAUCCUGUAGUAAACUGCAGGACUUGUUAAAGAUACUGUCGAACUUGGGACCGGGAGAGGCAAGGAGUACUGUAGGGGUAAGGGUAAAAUCUUAUAAUCCUUACGGGACUACCAGUGGCGAAGGCGCCUUGCUGGAACGGAUCCGACGGUGAGGGGCGAAAGCUAGGGGAGCGAAGGGGAUUAGAUACCCCCGUAGUCCUAGCUGUAAACGAUACCCACCAGACGUUGGAGUUCUCACGAGGGACUUCAGUGUCACAGGGAAACCGCUAAGUGGGUCACCUGGGGAGUACGGCCGCAAGACUGAAACUUAACGGAAUUGGCGGGGGAGCACACAAGGGGUGGAGGCUGCGGUUUAAUUGGAUUCAACGCCGGA
This 911-nucleotide ribosomal RNA is filed under the name uncultured archaeon. Its description in RNAcentral is "bacterial SSU rRNA". It matches the Rfam family "Archaeal small subunit ribosomal RNA", at positions 1 to 922 of the family's 1478-position model. The record is from RNAcentral.